CUCUCCCCCCCAGAGUCUGGUUACUUCCAGAGAUCAAGUUCCAGCCUCUCGGCUGGUGAAUUAUUAAACUCCAUCAGUGCUCCCUUUGUACCACAUCUCUGUCUUCCUGCUGUCCUUCCUUGCUGGUGACAGGCUCUCUCCAUCCAGCUGGCUGUGCAGAAGCAGAGUCCUUCAGGCCAGAAUAGCACCUUGUGCUCUCCUUUGCUCUUUGCUUCUCUGACAGAGUGAAUAGGCUCCAGAGAUGGAUCUGUCCUACAGAUCCACCAUCUCCAUCUAUAAGAGUAUCCUGGAGCAGUUCAACCCUGCGCUGGAGAACCUGGUGUACCUGGGGAACAACUACCUGCGUGCUUUCCACGCACUAUCCAAAGCAGCUGAAGUGUAUUUUAAGGCAAUUGAGAAGAUUGGGGAGCAAGCACUACAGAGUUCCACCUCACACAUGCUGGGUGAAAUUCUGAUGCAGAUGUCUGACACGCAGAGACUACUGAGCUCUGAUUUGGAAGUUGUGGCUCAGACCUUCCACGUGGACCUGCUGCAGCACAUGGAGAAGAACAGCAAAAUGGAUGUGCAGUUUAUCAGUGAGAGCCAGAAGCAGUAUGAGCUGGAGUACCAGCGAAGAGCCACCAACCUGGAUAAGUGCAUGGCAGAGCUGUGGAGAAUGGAGAGGGCUCGAGACAAAAAUGCCCGGGAGAUGAAGGAGAAUGUGAUGCGGCUGCGCUCAGAGAUGCAGGCGUUCGUCUCUGAGAGCCAGAGGGAGGCUGAGCUGGAGGAGAAACGCCGCUACCGCUUCCUGGCUGAAAAGCACCAGAUGCUCUACAACACUCUCCUCCAGUUUUACAGCAGGGCUCGCGGCAUGAUCCAGACCAAGGCACCACGGUGGAAGGAGCAGCUGGAAGCCAGCCGUAACCCCUCAAACAGCCACUCACAGGGGCUGCUCUCAGCCUCCCACGGCCAGGGGUAUCCAUCAGGACGGCUCACACCCACCCACCUUGAGAUGUCCCAGAGACCCCUUGGGGACUUUACUUCUUCUAUGACUGGGAGUAGAUCCAGCAUCUUCUCUCCAGACCCUCCAGAAAUGAGAAUGUCUCCUCAGCCAGAGUCUCCCAGGCGGCCACUGCGGAGGACACCAUCAGCAGCCAGUUUGCUCCCCACGGGCCGCACGUCCCGUUCGGGUUCCUUUGGCGAGGCCAGCAGUGGCAGCGAGGGCAGGAAGAGGAGUGGCACAACAAGAGUUCAGGCCAUUGUGCCCCACACAACGGGUGCCAACCGGACCCUGCUGCGGUUUGAGCCCGGGGACGUCAUCACGGUGCUGAUGCCAGAGGCGCAGAACGGCUGGCUCUAUGGCAAGCUGGAGGGCUCUUCCACGUGUGGCUGGUUCCCUGAAGCUUAUGUCAAGCCUUUGGAGAAUACGAGGGAGAUAGAGGAGCCUGACACCAGGUCCUUCCCGCUGCGAAGCAGUCACAGUAUGGAUGACAUCCUGGACCGUCCCAGCACUCCAGCCUCCAGCAAUUACUGGCCUGCUGCUGCCCAGCCCAGCGUGCCGAACCCACCUCCCCUCUCGGUGGGUGCCAGCAGUCACCAGAGCGGGGUGGCCACCCCAGUCAACUCUGGCUCCAAGGUGAGUGCAGGAGCAGUGACUGGCGGUGUGUGUGUGAAGUGGGCCACAUCUGACUUUCAUCCUCCAAGGCACACCUUUUCUGCUUUGGCUGUAGAGACAGAAAAUCACCUUUCUGAUGUUGGUGAAGGGACCUGCUGCUUUCCUGAGUCUUUCCUGCUGCUUUCUUACCCAGUCUGUUCAUAUGGCACCUUGUCAGAUGACCCCCUUCCUGUUGUGUGCAGAUCCUCGGUGCCUGGCUUUGCUUCCUCAAGGAACUGCCUUUCUGCCCCAGCCCUUCUCAUCUCUCUCUCUUUUUGCUCACCAGGGACCCUUCAGUUCAGUCCUUUUCUCCAUGACCUCCCAGCCUGAUUUCUGGUGGCUCCAGGGCAGCACUUCUUUCUGCUAAUAGUAGGACCAUGGAGUGACCAGGCUGGUCUGGGAGUGGGUGACCAGCCAACAGAGAUGCCAUCCUUCUUCUCCCUUCCGAGAAUGGAGAGGAGUUUCAUUGGGUUCCUCUUUUAAAUUCAGAUCAGGGUUGGCUUGAAGUCACAGCUGGGGAAAAAGGGAAAAGCUGGGAGCAAAGGCUGGGCACAGCAAUAUUUGAGAGCCUUAGAACAAGUUGUGUCCAAUUAUGGAUGCUUAUGGAUGGCAUACUGAGAAGGAAGUCCUCCACUUGCCAUUGCUUCCAGCAGUAGGGAAUUGACUGGGGAGGACCAAGUUAUAGGUGAGGACCUGGGGGAGGAAAGAACAGUGCUGCCCAUGGGGCAUUACUUGCUCAGUCUCACAGAGGGCUGGAAAACCUUUUCCAUGGUAACUGGUUUCAGGACAGUGCAAGGUUGCAAGCAAUUGAAUAUCUCAAAGAACUGAAAACUGCAAUAUUUCAUUACUCUUUUUUACCCCUUUAUGUCCUGCUCUGUGGUUUCAGGUAGCCUCAGGCUGCACAACACAGGGGAACAGCCUCUGCAGCCUUUCUGUCUCUCUGGGUUACUGGGUCUUUAUCCUGCCCCAGGGCUAGGGUGUAGGGAUAGACCUGGGAUUGAGUCAUGAUUUGUGUACAGCAUUUGGAACACCAUGGCAGAGUGUGGAACCUCACUAUAAAGGAGGGAAAGACUAAUUUGGAAAGAUUCAGCCUUGCUUUAAAUGUAUGCCCAAGACAUCCCCCAGCUGAGCCACAAACAAAUGGGUGUGACUUCCCAACUGGAUGCCAGAUAGCGACAUGUGGCUUUCUUGUCUCCCACCAGAGCACUUUAGCAGGUCAGUUGUUGCUGAUCUUUCACUAUCUACUGGCCAAGAAUAAGGGCCAAAGGGCCUCGGUCCAACUUUGUCCAUCAGGUUUGUCCACUUUUAAGAAAUGUGUGGUGUAGGGUAGGUAGGUACAACUCUGGAGUUCCUCAUGGAAGCAGGAAGCACAUGAGGCCAUGGAUGACAGACUUUUUGCCAGGGUAUAUGGGCAACAGGAGGGGGCAUCUCUGGCUGCGCUGGAGGGUGAAAUAUAGCUCAGACUGUCACUGUUUGCUGUGCUCUUCAGAUAUGACAUUCUGGGGAUCUGAGUAAUCCCCUUUCUUCCCCAAAACAAAGGAGGAUGUCCUAGGGGAGUAAGGAACCUGUGGUGUAGGGACAACCCCCCACAACAAAAUUCCGGGUGUUAUCUACAGUGGGGAAUUUGUGGAGUUUUGCAAAGCUUGAUUGAAUAAGGAGUCCGAGCCCUGUUAAGAGGACUUGGGCUCCUAACUCACCUAAGUGUUUUGUGAGAUCUUCCUCCAUGUGUGCAGUGUCUCCUGCCCCAUUUUCUCUCUCCAUUCCCUACUCCAGAUUUCUCACUGCUGCUUUUCUUUUCACUGCAGAAAUCAGGAGUAUUUGACCAGCCCCCUGAACUCUUCCCACGAGGUACCAACCCCUUUGCCACAGUCAAGCUGCGCCCCACAGUCACCAAUGACCGCUCGGCACCCAUCAUCCGAUGAAACAGGGCUAC
Non-coding RNA from Taeniopygia guttata (zebra finch), 3566 nucleotides. The record is from RefSeq and is a predicted model, not a curated record. NCBI's taxonomy places the organism in Eukaryota, Metazoa, Chordata, Aves, Passeriformes, Estrildidae.